UUGAUUCAUUUGUUUAUGAUUCCACUCAGACAUGCUAGGUAAGAAAAUACAAGAGUUUAGGUCCCCCGGCGGGCGCCUGGUUCCGGCGGCUUUUUAGGGCCUUCCGGGGCGUUAACCCGCCGAAGCAACAGUAAAGGUAUAAGUUCACAGGGGUUUGGGAGUUGUAAGACUCGGUAAUGAUCCCUCCGCUGGUUCACCAACGGAGA
This 206-nucleotide unclassified non-coding RNA is filed under the name uncultured fungus. RNAcentral's name for it is "sequence contains ITS1". Lineage: Eukaryota; Fungi. The record is from RNAcentral.